Molecule: ribosomal RNA, 253 nt
Filed under: uncultured bacterium
Lineage: Bacteria
Description: partial 16S ribosomal RNA
Rfam family: Bacterial small subunit ribosomal RNA
Source: RNAcentral
UACGUAGGGGGCUAGCGUUGUCCGGAAUCAUUGGGCGUAAAGCGCGUGUAGGCGGCCCGGUAAGUCCGCUGUGAAAGUCGGGGGCUCAACCCUCGAAUGCCGGUGGAUACUGUCGGGCUAGAGUACGGAAGAGGCGAGUGGAAUUCCUGGUGUAGCGGUGAAAUGCGCAGAUAUCAGGAGGAACACCAAUUGCGAAAGCAGCUCGCUGGGACGUUACUGACGCUGAGACGCGAAAGCGUGGGGAGCAAACAGG